CGGGUGGUAGCGCAGUCCGGUAGCGUACACGUCUGGGGGGCGUGUGGUCGCAGGUUCAAAUCCUGUUCACCCGACCA
Molecule: transfer RNA, 77 nt
Filed under: Chitinophagaceae bacterium
Lineage: Bacteria; Pseudomonadati; Bacteroidota; Chitinophagia; Chitinophagales; Chitinophagaceae
Also listed under: 3 other names
Description: tRNA-Pro
Rfam family: tRNA
About the family: Transfer RNA (tRNA) molecules are approximately 80 nucleotides in length. Their secondary structure includes four short double-helical elements and three loops (D, anti-codon, and T loops).
Source: RNAcentral